CAGUAGCCGCGGGAAUACGAAGGGUGCAAGCGUUACUCGGAAUUACUGGGCGUAAAGCGCACGUAGGCGGAUCGAUCAGUCAGGGGCGAAAUCCCAGGGCUCAACCCUGGAACUGCCUUUGAUACUGUCGAUCUGGAGUAUGGAAGAGGUGAGUGGAAUUCCGAGUGUAGAGGUGAAAUUCGUAGAUAUUCGGAGGAACACCAGUGGCGAAGGCGGCUCACUGGUCCAUUACUGACGCUGAGGUGCGAAAGCGUGGGGAGCAAACAGGAUUAGAUACCCCGGUAGUCCCUGUCUCUUAUAC
Molecule: ribosomal RNA, 301 nt
Filed under: uncultured bacterium
Lineage: Bacteria
Description: partial 16S ribosomal RNA
Rfam family: Bacterial small subunit ribosomal RNA
Source: RNAcentral